This 335-nucleotide unclassified non-coding RNA is filed under the name soil metagenome. Its description in RNAcentral is "partial contains 5.8S ribosomal RNA, internal transcribed spacer 2, and large subunit ribosomal RNA". The stretch from base 2 to 121 matches the Rfam family "5.8S ribosomal RNA", at positions 35 to 154 of the family's 154-position model. The record is from RNAcentral.
GGAUGAAGAACGUAGUGAAAUGCGAUAAGUAAUGUGAAUUGCAGAAUUCAGUGAAUCAUCGAAUCUUUGAACGCACAUUGCGCCCGCCAGUAUUCUGGCGGGCAUGCCUGUUCGAGCGUCAUUUCAACCAUCAAGCCCCCGGCUUGUGUUGGGGACCUGCGGCUGCCGCAGGCCCUGAAAACCAGUGGCGGGCUCGCUAGUCACUCCGAGCGUAGUAAUACAUCUCGCUCAGGGCGUGCUGCGGGUUCCGGCCGUUAAAAGCCUUAUUUACCCAAGGUUGACCUCGGAUCAGGUAGGAAGACCCGCUGAACUUAAGCAUAUCAAUAAGCGGAGGA